UCUCACCCCUCCUGGCCUUGAUUUCUCUUGGCAUGUUGUCUCCCUUCCAGCUGCUCCAUGGUCUCCUGUGCCUCUGGGAAGCAUCAGCAGCCCCGCUUUCCUGCUGAAGCAUGCAGCCGGGGCGCUACACCCAGAUCCGGGGAUCAGUUUCAUGGGAAGAAUCCGGUGGCUUCUGCUGGCUGACAUUCCUACUCCUGGGCUGGCAAAACUGUCGCCAGGGAAAUGAGUGACAGCAUGUGUGGAAAACCCCAGCACUGGGCUCAGCCCUCACCCAACACUCAGCAACAGUAACUUUGCGGUGGUGGCGACCUAGGAGCAGAAAGAAUGGAAUGGGGUGCUGACCUCUACCAGGGCCUGCAGGAGGCGCUGUGUCAGAGCACCAAAAGGGCACCCAUCUUCCGGCUGCUCGUGCUGGGCCUCAGACUUCUUCAGCAGGGCGUCCACAUCUGAAGGGGACAGAGAAGCAGUGGACAGGUGGGCUGAAGCUCUGGGAACUUAAGACCUGGCCUGGGGUGGGCAGGGAAG
Long non-coding RNA from Talpa occidentalis (Iberian mole), 525 nucleotides. RefSeq lists it as uncharacterized. The record is from RefSeq and is a predicted model, not a curated record. Lineage: Eukaryota; Metazoa; Chordata; Mammalia; Eulipotyphla; Talpidae. The transcript has 3 exons.